UAAAAUGUUUUGACUCUUCGUCUUACUUGAAUUUUUUUUUGCGGUUAAUAUUUUUAUUAUUACUAGAUGAUAAAAUAUGAAUAGUAUUUUAUGCGCGACUAGUUUUUUAAGUUUUUUUAUAAAUUUUUUAAAUAAGACAAAUGGUCAAAAGUUAGACGCGGAAAAAC
This 167-nucleotide microRNA precursor is filed under the name Oryza brachyantha (malo sina). RNAcentral describes it as "MIR812 microRNA precursor family". It matches the Rfam family "MIR812 microRNA precursor family", at positions 27 to 190 of the family's 205-position model. Lineage: Eukaryota; Viridiplantae; Streptophyta; Magnoliopsida; Poales; Poaceae. The record is from Rfam by way of RNAcentral.